GGGGGGAGACCUGUGGAUUCUCUCCGAGAUUUGGACUCUACUCGGCAUCAUAAACCAGCAACCUCCCGUCUCUUGUCAGCCCUCGAAGAAUAGCGACGACGCUUGUAAUUGUUCAAAGGGACCCGGUUCGUCGUGAAAAAUGGAUUGCACGGGUGCAAAGGACGAAACCUUCGUGGGUUCGAAAUGACAAGUGCCACUACAUGUUUUCAAUGGCGAAUGUCCCAGUGUGACGACUGGUGAUGACGUUGCAGGCAAUAUGGCGACCACUUGGAUGUCGAGUGAGACUUCUGCAACUUUACGCAUG
Long non-coding RNA from Syngnathoides biaculeatus (alligator pipefish), 304 nucleotides. RefSeq lists it as uncharacterized. The transcript has 3 exons. The record is from RefSeq and is a predicted model, not a curated record. NCBI's taxonomy places the organism in Eukaryota, Metazoa, Chordata, Actinopteri, Syngnathiformes, Syngnathidae.